GCCAUCUCUCCUGCCCUCUGCGGGGGGACCUGUGGGGAGGUCACAGCAGUCAGUGUAUCUCUGCCUCGCUUGCCCCCUGUGUCCUCACAAGCUCAUGUUCUCCCUUUGGCAUUUCUUAUAAACCCAUGACAAGCUUCCCUCCUACCCUGCCCUCCGCCAAGGACCAGAAAUCUGAGGUAACCUCGUGCCAGGAACUAUUUGCUAAUAAGUCAUUAGCUGCCCUCUGAUUUGAGGUCUGGAGGAAAAGUCUCUCCCAAGCAGCUUUGAAAGUGUGAAACAUCUUCAACUGAGUGAAGUGCUCUUUAGCCAAAGACUUUGCUUCAGUCCAAAUACAACAAACCAUUGGAAGCAGUGAGGGGAUUUCUCAGCUGUGUUUUGAAGGUGGGUUUUGACUGAGGUGAAGGGCAAGGCCCACCCUUAAUGGGGACCUGAAGGUGGAGGAAGCUAUUGGUUUUCACCACAGCUGCCGAGACAACCACCUGGGGAGCUGUAAGAACUACCCAUUGCUGGGCCACAGAUCAGUCAGAGCCCAACUUCCGUGCUUAGAGCUGGGCACUAGUGUGUUUCUGAAGCUCUGCAGCUCAUUCGAAGGCAUCUCUUCAUAGCAGUAUGAAAAUGGACUAAUACAACAGCAUUCACACCAGGAAGUGACUAGGAACACAGAGCUUCAAGCUUUGUGAGGCACGAGGUACUGGGGCCAUGAUACCAAGUGGCUUCCUGGAAGCCCCGGCAAGGAGUCCCAGGUGGUGUUCAGCAGCAAAAUGAGUGGUGGCCCUGGAAAGGGACCUGAAAACUACACAGCCCUGAUGAUCAGCUUCUGAGGGGAGCCCUCUGGGGGAAAAGCCCCCUCCUCUUUCCCAGAGCUGACUGGAAGGUCUGUCCCAUUCCACACACUGCAUUUGUUACAGGAAGGGACCAAGUGGGGUAAAAAAAGAACAUGGAACAGGCUGAGAGAGAGGGCGGCUCCAUUCAAAGGACCUAUGCCAAAAAUGAGAAUAAAGAUUGACCAGCGACUUUUGGUAGAGACCUGGGCACCCUGGCCAGUGAAGAGCUGGGGCCUGUGAGUACAGCAAAGGUGGAGUCCACAUUGCCACCACCUCCCCUCAGAUGCCGCUGCUCUGGGCUCAGCAGCACUGGGCAGUCUGCCCAGUCCUGCCCAUGGCUUUUGCUCCAGAGGAGCCCAGUGGUGACAGUGGGAGUGGAGGAGUGAGGGGCUGUCCCAGUGGAAGCCCUGGCUGCUGCCUUGGGUGGCACUGUUUCUCAAACGCUCUGGAGGCCCCAGAGGGCCAGGAGUCUGAAGACUUGGGUUUGAAUGGAGUUGAGAGAUUCUUGGAGCAAUGAUACUUGUUACAGAAAGAUUUACUGGGAACUGAAAAGGUGGCAUUAGUCUGGGAUGAUAAGGAGUUUUAACCCUUUGAGUCUAUGGUAUGGGAAAAAUUGCCAUCGGGAACCUAUUUUGUAUGGUUUUGCUUACUUAGUAAAUGUUUGUAAAAGCCUAUAUCUGUGCUUUUAAUGGGUUUGGGUAUUUUAGGGUGUGGAAUAGAUUUCCAGGACUUCUCUGAUUUAUGACGUCAUGCUGUGGAAAAGAAGGUUUGACUUCCUCCAUUCAGGACCAACUGGGAAGGGACUUGGGGAUGCCUUUGUUUAAACACUCCCUCUCACUUUUCCCAUUUGAAUUCUGUUACACUGGGGUUCCAAAAAAAUUAUUAAACAUUUUGCUUUGAAAACAGAGCUCCCUUUUUAAAAAUUAAUGUGGCUUCUCAGGGGGAGAUUGCAUCAGCCACCUUGCGGCAGCUCCUGCCAGGUGCCAGGAGCCUUUGUUUUGACUUCCUCAUUUUCUCUCAACUGACCUUUUAAUGUAGAGCAAAACAAAACGAGCCAAGAAGCCCAGGACCAGGCAUAUGGAGAAGGUGGUGGCCCCUCAACCUUUUUAUAUUCAGUCCCAGCUCCUAUGAGGCUCGCCACCAUCUGGUGCGACUUGGAACUUGAACUUGGAAUUCUCUAGUGAGGCCCAGCUUCCACUCUUGCCUUGUGCAGUCCAGCACCUGCUUAGCUGCUCAGGCUGUGUAUGAAUACAUUCCCAUCUGCCCAUCCUCAGCCACCCCCCAGCUCCUAAAUUCCUACCCUACUUUUUGCUUCUCUAAGUCCGAUCCAUGCAGCAUGAGCAUUCCUGGGCUCCUUCAGCCCACACUCUGGUUUAGCUCUAAAUUAGGAUUUAUUCUCCACUCUAGUGUCACAUCUCUGAGGAACAAUCUUCAUCUGUUUUGUUAUUCUGAUACACAGUAGGCACUUUUUUUUUUUUAAAUGAGUGAAUGAAAAUGCUACAUAGUCUCCCUGAGUUCUUUCAUGUACAAAUCUUGGUUACACAUCUUAGGACAGCAGAGCUGCUUGAGGGAGAGCUGUGUUUAAUGUCACAUGCGUGUUCAGCACAGUGCUGGCGUGGCCCAUCCAUGCUUUCUAUUGAACUAUGGACAGACUUCAGGAACUUGUGCAUGGAGAGGGUGAAGGUUAGUGCUCGCUUCUUUCCCUAAACUUUGUGCAGUGACAGCAUAUGGAUCUUUGGUUGGAAACCCCAGGCCUACCCUGGUUUUUGUUUUUUUCUUAAACAAUCCUGAUAAUGACACUUCUACCACAAUGAGCUUAUAAAUGCCCUUUAAUGAUAAGCCAGUGUUUCCUUCAGAGAGCAAAGGGGAGACUGCUGAGUCACUGUGACCAUUUUUAGAUAAACUUUUUCCUGUUUAUAAUAAAAUAACACAUGCUGAUUGCAGGAAACUGGAAAAUACACGAAACUGCAGAGAAAAGACUAAAAGUCAUCUAUACUUCAGGUCGUAGAAGUAACCACUCUGAACAGCACACUUCUUUUUACAGUAUUGUUUUACACCGUUGGGAUUACAUAAAAUACACGUUUGUAUCCCACUUCGUGAACAUCAUUCUACGUGAACUAGAAAUGUUACGUGAACUAGAAAUGUUACCUAAACACUAUUUUAAGGGUUCCAGAUAGCUGUAUCAAAGUUUAUGGUUUAUACAUAGAUGCUUUGUAACAUUAUUUUGUUAUGUUAUGAAUGCUAUGGUGAAUACUUUUGUGAAUCAACUUAUGUUUCCACCAGCAGUUUCAGCGAGUGCCUGUCUCAUCCCAUCCUCCCCAGUAUUGCAUAUUCUUGAGUCUUUUAUUCUUUGAUAAUGACAAAUGAUGAAUCAGUGAUAGUUUUUUUUCAUAAUGAGUAAAGUUUAACAUUUUCAAGUGUUUGUUGACCAUUUGUAUUUCUUCUUUUGUGAAGUGCUGUCAGUUCUUUUGCUAUUUUACAAAUAAUUUUGAGUUUCA
This is a long non-coding RNA of Cercocebus atys (sooty mangabey), 3322 nucleotides long. RefSeq lists it as uncharacterized. NCBI's taxonomy places the organism in Eukaryota, Metazoa, Chordata, Mammalia, Primates, Cercopithecidae. The transcript is spliced from 2 exons. The record is from RefSeq and is a predicted model, not a curated record.